This 4848-nucleotide non-coding RNA is filed under the name Pongo abelii (Sumatran orangutan). Lineage: Eukaryota; Metazoa; Chordata; Mammalia; Primates; Hominidae. The record is from RNAcentral.
GGCAAAACGUCCGCCCGGGCCCGAGGCGGGCGGAGGCAGCUGUGGUUACGUGCGGGGGGUCGGUGACGCAGUCGCGGGGCGCUGGGACGCGGCUUGCGGAGCCGGCCGGCGGGGGCAGGCCCCAGGCUCCGGCGCGGCGGCGGGACAGCACCUACCUUCCCGGCUUCGGGUCCGGGAGUGCGGGGCGCGGAGCCGCCGGAGCGCUGCCUCCCUCCUUCCUCCUCCCCUUGCCCCCGCCCCGCGGCGCGACACACAAUACUCGCCGGAAGCGGAAGCCUCGCCGAGGCUAGUGUCAGUGGAAGCUGGGGUGUCGGCGGGCGGCCGCGGCCGGGUCUAGCGGUGUCUGCGGAAGGAGGAGGAGGAGGAGGGCUGGCGAUGAGAACCAGCAGGAGGAAUCAAGGGCAAGAAGGGACCCAGAGGGGCAGGUGGCUGAGAUGCUGGUGUCCAGGUGACCCGAGGAAUCCUCUGGAGAUAGAGGCCCGCGCAUGCGCGUGCUCGAGCGCUGAAGCCCAUUGCCCGCAGGGCGCUGGACUGGCGCCCCGGCCGGCGAGGCUGUCUAGUCCAGGCUCCAGGCCCCGGCUCUGACCAGGCGCCACCGCCUCCCGGUGCAGCUGAAAGUCGACGAAGAGGGCGGGGCGAGGGCGGCUUGUGGACUUCCACACUUUUCCUCUCUUCGGGCCAGUCCGGGGAGAGGGUGGCUAGCUGUGGCGGCGGCCAAUUACGUGGCGGACCUGCGGGGCUAAGCUGGCACGUCACUUCCGACUAGUGGAGUUUUUAGCCUUUUAACAUUCAAGGAUUAGAGCUCCCUCUUUGCCCACUAGCAGGGCAUUAGCUGGUGCUGAAGACAGUGGCUGCUUGGCGAGCCUGGAUCUCCAAGUGACCCCCUCAGCAACUCCUGAUGAACAGGACUGAAGCCAAUAUUAAAGCAAGUCAACCAAAGGUUCUCUGGUGUAGACAAGACAGCAAAAGGACAGACUACCUUGUGGAACCUAGCAUUGUUCUCCUUCUGCAGCACUAAGUAACGUUUGUGCUCCGUAAGAUCUUUGCAAACCACACACAAGAAUUGCUGGUCAUCCUGUCAAUAGAUGCUGCUCACAGAACCAAAUUUACUGUGCUGGAUUGUCAUUCAUGGGCUUGAGAGUAGGAGACUGGAGACCAAGGUGGCUAGAAUCCAGUUGGGCCUGACGUCUCCCUGUUGAAAAGGCUCCUUGUGGAACGAACAGCACAUGGCUCCCGUGGUGGAUCAGAUAGUGGCACAGCACCAAAUGAUGCAGGCCUGCCAGGGGCCAGGGCCACAGAAGAUGCUCCCAGGGUCCCCCGUGUACUCCAGACACACUACAGGCCACCUCUCCCAGCAGGUUCCCAGUCAUGGGCCCCAUUGUCAUGACUUUAAAGCACACCUUAACACCUGAGCACAUCUCUUCCUUAACACCUGUGACUUUCUGACAGGUGGAGGAUGUGGUCAGGAAUGGGAAAAGGAUUUGAGAUGGGAAGAGGGAGGGGUUCAGGAUGAAGAGAGAUAAUCUGUGUCACAGAUGCCAGCCCUGCAGUUAGCUCCCACCUAGUCCGUGCACACACAUUCUAAUGCCCUCCCAUUCUUCUACAUGCUGCGGCCAGAGAGGCCUUUCUCAAAGUGGAAGUCUCAUCCUCGCUUCUCUGGUUACGGUGCUGGGCCAUGGAUGACUUACAAGGCUUAGCAGGAACUGUCUGCGUACUCCCCCUUCCUGCCCACUACCUUGUUUCCCUCCAGUCACGAAAGCAAACGUUGGGCAUUAACUGUGUGCCAGGCUUGUCCUAAUCCUUCACAUGUAUUCACUCAAACAAUCCUCACAACAUUCCUAUCACAUCUCCCGUUUCACAGUGAUGGUUCUAAAGCACGCAGUGGGUGAGGAACUUGUCCAGGGUGACACAACUAAGUGGGGGUGGAGAAACAUCAAAUCUAGGUGGUCCAGGUGGUGGCCAGAACCCAUCAGCACCUCACUACAGCUGCCUCCAGUUUCUCCCUGUAGGAAAUACUCUUCUCUGUCAACUCGUGUUGCCCUCUGGGCUCGGUUGACAUGUCAUCUCCGCAUGACAUCCUGAGAUGCUCCCCAACUAGGGUGGGCACCCACUUCCACACUCCAAAUGCCUGUCUAUUUGACCUGUGUAUUGCUGCAUCCCCAUUGCCAGGCAGAUAGCAGGCCCCUAAUAAAUAUGAUUUGAGCAAAUAAAUAUAGUUCUUCAAAAAAUAGGGAGGACUUCUUGCUUCUGAUAAUGGUGGGCUAGGACAUUUGGACCAACCCUCAUGCAGAAAAUAGUCAUUUAUUUUGAUGCAAUAUGCCUGGCUAUGACUAUAGAGAUUUCAAAUAUUUGGAGGGCUAUUAUGUGAAGAAUUAUACUUACUCUUUGUGACACAGAGGUCAGAAAUUGGUCGUUUCCAUAGAGUAUGAGAGACACAGAAUUGUGCUCAUCAUAAGUAUCUUUUUUAAAAACUAGACCUAAUAAGAUGGGCUGCCUUGGUAGGUGGUGAGUUCUCUGUCACGAAAGAGAUUCAGCCACUUGCUCUGAGAAAGCAUGGAGAAUAUCAGCAUUGUAAGGGUCAACCACCUCAUCUCUGAGGCCCCCUCCUCACUUAGGUUGCCAUUGCAGGUGGAACACUGGGCUGAGUGUCAAAGAACCUGGGUUCCACAAGCUGUGCAAUCAUGGCUGGUUGUUUUUGGAUCUCAUUCCUAAUACCUGUUAGUUAAGCUGACCCAUCAAUACUGACCCACUUCACAGAGUUAUGAAGGGAUUAAAUUAGGUAUUACAUAUAAAUCUUUGUUUUGUUUGCUUUUUGUUGUUUUUUGUUUUGCUUUUUUCUUUGCAUUAUGAAAUCCCAAGUCAACUUUUUCCAUUCUUUUAUUUCUUAAAAAAUUGACAUCAUCAUUACAACAACAAAAUAAUUUUUAAAAUGAAAAAAAAAACUCACAACCCCACAACCUAAUACAAUAAUCAUACUUUUUCCCUUUAUUCUCCUUUAUUGUGACCAAGGAUGACUUUGGGCAUUGCUGUAAGGAACUAUUUCGUUUAACACCCCACUACCUGAACAUGAUGCAUACUCAGCCUUUCACCACCCUCCAAGUAGCUACACAUGAUAGGAUAAUAGUAUUGGUGGUGGUUUUAGAGAGUUGGAGAGAAAACUGAAGUUGGAUUUGGGUAAAAGAAAAAAGCCUGGGAAUUAUUUUUUCUCCAUUCUAAAGCCCAUAGAGCAGUGUUAAUUGUUCCCACCCCUCUGCUAUUCUGUCUCCUCAGGUACUGUGUGCAGAAAUGUAAUUGAGAUUCAAGUCAGGGCCUCUGCCCUUUUCCCUCCAGAAACAAAACCAAGAUAAUUUAUCCUGAACACACACGGUGAAAAAAGGAAGGGAAGGGGGAGAAAAAGUCCAGGUCUUACCUGGGAUUCUCUGUCUCCUGCAACAUGAAGGAUUUAGCCUGGGAGGAGGUGGUGAGAACUCUGGGAGAGAAAAAAGAAGGAAAGAAUAGUUUUACCCAUGCUGAAGUUAAACCUUCACCUAGAGAAGCAAAAACAAACCACACUUUUCCAUUUUGUGCCUCCCUUCCUAGAGUUUUAGCCAAAGGUGUAACUAAGUAAUUGGUUUUACCAGGGCAGUCACUCCUCCUAUCCCGAGUCUGUUUGACUUCCUCCCCAUCAUCCUCCUCACCUCUUUUCAGGCAGGGUGGGGAUAGCAGCAGGAGGAGAUUUUGGGAGCCUGGCAACUCCUGCAAGGACCGCAGGACAGCACCUCUGUGGGGAUGCGUGGUGCCCCAUCUGCCGCCCUUCUGAAGAAUGCACUGCCUUCACUUUACUGUGUUAGAGUCCAUCCAGACUGUUCUAUCCAAAGAAUAGUUUCUUUUUCCCCCACAGGCAAUCAGGAAAUGAUUCCUUUCCCGACUGCUUCUGUCUAGUGCCUGGGAAUCUUGAGUCAAUCCCUCAGUAAGUCAGUGACUAGGGGAAUCUCCCCUCUCUGAGCCUCCCAGUUCAUGUUGCUUAGGGAACCUGAUAUUUUCGUGAAACCUGCCUACACAUGGGCAGCCCAACAGCAGAGCAAAUGGUGGUGAACAAAGAAUUAUAGUUGUGCCAGCUUCCUGGUUGCCCAUGUGGACAAGUCAGCAGGAUCAGGACACGAGGAAGAGUAAAUGUGAGACAGUCACGUGACUUCUGCGAUAAACAGAUUUUUAAGCCCCGAAGUUUUGCUAAAAUUUUGGUGAAACCUGAACUUUCUUCGUUGCAUAUACUGGCACUAUCUGUACCAUCAUACAACUAUCUCACAUUAAAGCUAUUUUUCUUGAGCACUGAUGAGUAAGGUUGGUAUGUUUGAGUUCCUCAGAUCAACAAAAACCCAUUUUCCUAUAAGUCUUACAUUUAGUAUUUAAGGAACUAAAACAAAUACAUUUUGUGAAAUGGUUGACACUUCAUUGAUAAUGAUUUAUUGCUUGGAUUAAUAAAUUUUCCAAAAGUUGUCUUAUGUAGAAUAUGGUUUGCAACCAGCAGAACCAUUAAUCUAUACUGCAAUGAUAUGCACUAUGUAUAAUUGUUUAAAAGCCUCUACUUAAUGAUGUAAAAUGCUCUAUUACACAUUUGGGUAAACUGUAUACUAACAUCUGAUGGCAUUUUUCCACUGUUUGUUGCUUUUUUCAGAUACUUUAUUGUACAAAGCUGUUCUUAAUAUUUUUCAAGUUUUUUUCUUUGAAUUUUGCUAAUGUUUUCCUUGAAUUAUGAGCAUUGACAGAAUGUGCUUAGCACUUUUGGCUAUUCACACAGCUUUUGAGCAUGAUUUGCAUCCAGUAUUUACAUUGCUAGCAAUAAUAAGCCAUCUGUGAGUUUUGUCAAAA